AUGGGCUCUGUUUCCGUUGCUUGGCAGAAGACCACUUCGUCGCCGACUGUCGUGGGCCUGUCACCUGCCUGGGCUGCAGCCGUUCUGGGCAUCGCGAGCGUGGCUGUCCGGACCGCCUCCUUGCCAGCCACGGUCAUCUCCGCAGCGCCCUGUUGCCGCCGGCUGCUCCUCGCCUCCCCAAGCACCCGCCCCAACUCCUUCACCGAGGUUGCAGAAAUGCUCGUGGGCCUCUAUUGUUGCCGCUUCGACUGGGCUCAUUCAAGGGUACCCUUGUAG
RNAcentral lists this ribosomal RNA (276 nucleotides) under Triticum aestivum (bread wheat). Its description in RNAcentral is "partial small subunit ribosomal RNA". Lineage: Eukaryota; Viridiplantae; Streptophyta; Magnoliopsida; Poales; Poaceae. The record is from RNAcentral.